Molecule: ribosomal RNA, 615 nt
Filed under: uncultured bacterium
Lineage: Bacteria
Description: bacterial SSU rRNA
Rfam family: Bacterial small subunit ribosomal RNA (bases 1-541)
Source: RNAcentral
CCUACGGGAGGCAGCAGUGGGGAAUUUUGGACAAUGGGCGCAAGCCUGAUCCAGCAAUGCCGCGUGCAGGAUGAAGGCCUUCGGGUUGUAAACUGCUUUUGUACGGAACGAAACGGUCUGCCCUAAUACGGUGGGCUAAUGACGGUACCGUAAGAAUAAGCACCGGCUAACUACGUGCCAGCAGCCGCGGUAAUACGUAGGGUGCGAGCGUUAAUCGGAAUUACUGGGCGUAAAGCGUGCGCAGGCGGUUAUGUAAGACAGAUGUGAAAUCCCCGGGCUCAACCUGGGACCUGCAUUUGUGACUGCAUAGCUAGAGUACGGUAGAGGGGGAUGGAAUUCCGCGUGUAGCAGUGAAAUGCGUAGAUAUGCGGAGGAACACCGAUGGCGAAGGCAAUCCCCUGGACCUGUACUGACGCUCAUGCACGAAAGCGUGGGGAGCAAACAGGAUUAGAUACCCUGGUAGUCCACGCCCUAAACGAUGUCAACUGGUUGUUGGGUCUUCACUGACUCAGUAACGAAGCAACGCGUGAAGUUGACCGCCUGGGGAGGACGGCGCGAGUAGAACGANAANAGAGUAGAGCGNGAGAGAGCGAGGACGACGACGAGGGGAGGAGG